UACGUAGGGUGCGAGCGUUGUCCGGAAUUAUUGGGCGUAAAGAGCUUGUAGGCGGUCUGUCGCGUCUGCUGUGAAAAUCCGGGGCUCAACCCCGGACUUGCAGUGGGUACGGGCAGACUAGAGUGUGGUAGGGGAGACUGGAAUUCCUGGUGUAGCGGUGAAAUGCGCAGAUAUCAGGAGGAACACCAAUGGCGAAGGCAGCUCUCUGGGACGGUACUGACGCUGAGACGCGAAAGCGUGGGGAGCGAACAGG
Molecule: ribosomal RNA, 253 nt
Filed under: uncultured bacterium
Lineage: Bacteria
Description: partial 16S ribosomal RNA
Rfam family: Bacterial small subunit ribosomal RNA
Source: RNAcentral